CNUACGGGAGGCAGCAGCAGGGAAUCUUGCGCAAUGGGCGAAAGCCUGACGCAGCAAGCCGCGUGGGGGAUGAAGGCCUUCGGGUUGUAAACCCCUUUCAGGAGGGAAGAAAUUGACGGUACCUCCAGAAGAAGCCCCGGCCAACUACGUGCCAGCAGCCGCGGUAAUACGUAGGGGGCGAGCGUUGUCCGGAAUUAUUGGGCGUAAAGAGCUCGUAGGCGGCUCAGCAAGUCGGCUGUGAAAUCCCGAGGCUCAACCUCGGAACUGCAGUCGAUACUGCUGUGGCUAGAGUCUGGUAGAGGAGAGUGGAAUUCCCGGUGUAGCGGUGAAAUGCGCAGAUAUCGGGAGGAACACCAGUAGCGAAGGCGGCUCUCUGGGCCAGUACUGACGCUGAGGAGCGAAAGCGUGGGGAGCAAACAGGAUUAGAUACCCUGGUAGUCCACGCCGUAAACGUUGGGUACUAGGUGUGGCGUCCCGAUCAACGGAUGCCGUGCCGAAGCUAACGCAUUAAGUNCNCCNCG
RNAcentral lists this ribosomal RNA (521 nucleotides) under uncultured bacterium. RNAcentral describes it as "bacterial SSU rRNA". It matches the Rfam family "Bacterial small subunit ribosomal RNA", at positions 338 to 871 of the family's 1533-position model. The record is from RNAcentral.